RNAcentral lists this long non-coding RNA (738 nucleotides) under Vigna radiata. RNAcentral's name for it is "long non-coding RNA (VRAD_LNC000136)". Lineage: Eukaryota; Viridiplantae; Streptophyta; Magnoliopsida; Fabales; Fabaceae. The record is from RNAcentral.
CAGUAAACAAUACUUAGUACUAUAAACACACCAUAAAUACAUCAUAAACACAUCCUAAAGUGACUAAGAAAUUACACUUCCAGAAAGCACUUUAAACACACCAUAAACUAUUAAAACAGUUUUGUACUGAAUCCUAAACAAUGGGGGACUACACAGAACACUUUAACCUGCACAAUGGGGGACUACACAGAACACUUUAACCUGCACAAUGGGGGACCACAACAGAACACCCAUAAUGAGGGACAACAACCAAACAUACAUAAUACUUAAUGGGGUACAACCAAACAAAAAUAAUAGUUUAUGGGCCACCACAACAAAAGCAAACACACACACGAAGCAAACAAGCACACCAAAGCAACCAUAAACCAAAUGAAACCAAUGUUACACGCACCUUCGAAUGAACCUUGGAAUAAAACCCACUUCGCACUUCCAAAUACACUACGAACAAAGCCAAUAACACUUCCAAAUCACUAGCUUUCGAGAGCCCAAAUGCGAUUUUUCACUCUUCAUCAAUUGUGAUUUCAAAAGCCCUAAUUUCACUCUUCGUCAACUCACACAAAGCCCCUAAUUUUAUUUCGUUCAACAAUUAAAAACCCCUAAAUCAUUUAUUAAUUAAAUUUCAAUAAUUGACAUUGCUGACACAUAAUUACCAAUACUCACAGUUUUUUGACAGGUUUCAAUUCUUUACUGUCAAAUCAUCACUCCUUGUCAGUCUGCAUUUAACGGAGAGAACCUAAU